AACCUGAACGUCGAAAAAAAUUACUAAUAUUUAUUUCAAAGACUCUAACCUCGAAAAUUAUAAUUUCUAUCUUAUAAAUUAAUUAAUUUGAUGACUAAUCCUCAGUAACUAUUUCAAGCUACACAAUCGCAGGGAUAGUGCAAGAAAUCAAAGACUUAAAAUGCAUUUCAUCUUAUCCGAGCAUCUGAGCCCCCCGCUGCCAAGAGCCAACCAGCCAAUGAGUUGUAUCACGUUAUCUUGUUUUGUAUACAUAUAUUUCUUCAAACUAACAGACAUUGCAACGAGUGAAAUAAUCGAAACUACCUUGGGGUGUUAUUGAAAAUGAGGUGGUGCUUGAUUGUUAAGCAGGAGAGUAAAAAAAAGUAGGUUGUGCAACAAAGCCUUCCGGGAGGUCCCCAAGCGCACUUCAUCUCAUAUUUCUAGCAUCCAGUUUGGUUUGGAACUCAGCAGUCAGAGCACAGAACAGAACAUAAGAGAAGAGAACAGAACAGAGCAAGAGAGUUAUACUCUAGUAUGGCAAAGGUGUACUAUAUAGAGUGCAAGGAGAGUAAGGACGCAGAAAGGUUUUAGUUGACGAGGAGAGCACACUCGGGAGAGACCGGUCGAUGCACUUCCUCCUUCCUGGUGUGUAUGUACCGCCAUAUAAGAACCGUCGCACUACACCUACGUAUUGGUUCCAGGCACUCUCUGUACAUGUACAAUACAUUAUAUUUUAUAACAAUAAUAAUAAUAAUAGUAAUGGUAAUAAUAAUAUGCCUACACAAACUCAGCCAGACACACUUUCGUCCCUCAACUAUGCACAUUUUGAAAUUUGACUCUUUCAAAGUUUAAAUUUAAUACACCCACCAGACCCACUGAGCUAACUGUCGUCUAUUGUGCUCAUGUGUCUUAAUACUUAAACUUUAAAACUCCCGCAUUAACUUUUAUUUUUAUAAAAUAUCUAUUUCAUGGUCUCUUGUACGAAAUAAUAUAAAUGGAGUAACAUAUGCAAUUAGUGGUAACUGUGAUAUAAUUAUUUAUAAAUUAUAAUUAUUGUGUAAAAAAAAUAAAACUAGGCCUUGUUAUGAAAUUUGUGUCGAGUAUGGAGCGAUAGUGCACAAGAGAGGUGUACGGUUAAUUAAGUAAUUAAAUGUAUGUGCAUAUAUGUAUAUAUAUAGCCAAGUAAUUUGAGAGUAAGUAUUUUUUCAGAGCUUUUUGGUAUAAGCAACGUCAUAUCUUUUCUGAUUAAUUCCUAACACGACUAACGAGCAACGACCACGGGCAUGAGCACGAGCACGAUGACGACGUAGACGCAAACCGCAAAAUUACUGCCCGAGUUAUUUCUUUGUCUGACAAACUCAGUUGACAAAAAUUUUAUGAAAAGCUUCCUCGUCGUUUAAUUGAAAGGACCGCGUAUGUGGGCAUACUAUUGCUACUUUAAUAAUUAUGUGUUAUAAUAUUUAACUUUAAUAAAGUACUCGGUGGUUUUAUUUAUUUAGUCCAACUUUAACUUCAUUUUGUUUUCAUAAACUUUUACUAUCUCAGCCUACGAGCACUUUAUUGCCAUUACUGUAAUAACAAAACUAUUAAUUUAAUUUUUAAAUUUAAUAAUUUUUUAAAAAUUACAAUUUUUACUCAGCACUUAAACUUGAAACUUGCACAUGAUAACACUAUCGUUUAAAAUUAUUUAUUUUAAUAUAAAAGAAAUAUAUAUUAUGUAUAUGUAUCAAGAGUUUAAACACUUGGAUAUUUUCGAACUACAUAUUGUUGUCUUAAGAUAAAGAGGAGGACGAAGAACACGGGAGAGUUUUGUGAGCGAGUUCGAAAGGUAUAGAGUAGACAAGAGUGAAAUAUCGAAAGAUGUUUUAAAGAGGUAGGCAGGUGGUACCCGAUGCAGAGUAAUAACUAGAGGAGGAUAUGAAAAGGUGGUGGAAGGAGUGAAACAGCACCCGAGGAUGGGUAUGGCUAUGGCACUACCAGUUUUUUCUCGAGCACCCGGUCUGUCAUCGUUUAGUAUUACUCUUGCCCGUGGGUUUUCGCUCAUCGUAGUAGUUGUAGUCAACCACGAGAUGCACAGCAAGAGAAAAUGAAAAAAAAAUAAAAAAAAAUUUAUAAAUAAAGUAAAGAGUUAAGUGUAGUGUUGAGUAGAGCGACAACCGAGGGAUGCUGGAUCUUGCAAAUUCUUGGAAAUAUAUAUGUGCACGUCUGACCAAGUAUCAGACAAAGGAUGCCAAGAAAAUAGAAAUGCAGGGAAGAAUGGAGCGCUAUCGUAGUC
Molecule: long non-coding RNA, 2254 nt
Organism: Microplitis demolitor
Lineage: Eukaryota; Metazoa; Arthropoda; Insecta; Hymenoptera; Braconidae
Exons: 3
Source: RefSeq, a predicted model, not a curated record